UUUUGGUAACAGCAAUAAAACUGAUAUAAUUCUUUCUUGCCUCAAACCUAUCUCUCUUCGUCUACCUUUCAAACCUUAGCAACUCUCACCUGUUCAUCAAAGCGAAAACCUAUCCUCAACCCCAAAUCCGAACUAGCCCAAAAUCUCCCAAACAAAAACAAAUCCCAAACCCCAAUCAAAGAAAAUCUCAACCGAUGAACCAAGAACGAUUGAUAUAAAUAAGCUUUAGGCAAGUGAUUUCAACAUUAGAUCCAUCAUCAUCUCCAUAAACACGACAUGUUUUCUCACAGACCAAAUCAAAUGUAACAAAACAAACUUCGACAAUCAUCUAGCAUACAUGAAAUCAAUGAACAGAUGGAGCCUCAACACUUUUUAAACUUAAAAUAAAAGGUAUAAGAUCUCGCCGGAAUUCUGCAACUCCGACAAGAUUAUGGCGGACAACAUUUUUUUACCUCAAGGUUGUGAGGAAAAAUCCGCAGAGUGACGAUAAGAUCCCCUUUCAAUGAUUGGGACCGACUUAUUUAUAGAGAGAUUGACUAGGUUUUUGCACCAGAUCCGGAUUGUGUGCUGGCAGGGUGCAUAAAAUCAAUUCCGUUGGGUGAGAUCCUCCUGAGAUCGUGUGGGGACCGAUUUGUUUGGGGGUAGAAUUAUGGAAAUUAUGGAGAAUUUGUCUGUAGUGAAAUCCUUUAACAAUGCAUGGUCUUUUGUUUGAGUUUCUCGUUGAGUUAUUACUGCUGUAAGACAGCUGCACAAGAUGGUAAGCGGAUCAUGGAGGCCCAUGAUAAAUACAUGAGGAAAAUCCCAGCCUUGUAAGGAUAUGCCCUGCCAGUAUGUAUCAACUCUGUUUUCCUUUAAGGUAGCAUGGAUACCAGGUAGACUCUUUGGAUUUGUAGCUUUUGAACAUAGUGCUUCCUUAUACGUCCUUGUUCUAACAGUUUCAAUUAGAUUCUUUCUCGGGUUGUCUAUGUGGUUCUGUUCCCUGUUACCCUGUCAUGGACCUUGAGUUUUGAAUGUAACUUGGAUAGUAUGUUUCUUCUUGUAAUGUUAUUGAUUCUCAUGGCUACUUUGAGUUUCAAUCUUGGUAUUUUUUCAUGGUCUGUCAUGUGUUGUUUCCUGAUCAAAAAUAAUGAUUUACAGGUUGUACUGUAGGUUGAUAGAUGCAUACUAUAAUUCGGUUUGUGAACAUAUGUUGGAAAUGCUUUGUUUCUUAGUUCACGUCUUCAUGGUGUGGGAUUGUAAGUUAUGGAUAAUGUGAGUUUGCUUAUGACGGUGCAUUUGGCAGCAUGUUUCUCACGGCUUUUCCUAUGCCUUUGUUCCGAAAUGUUACAGUCUUGGUUGUCUUGCUGAUAUGAUGCAGUAGUGGUUUGUGCAGUUUCUAGAUCGAUUAUUUGGUCAAGGUUGGCUGGUUUGGUAACGGGUUUCUUUUUGUCAUGGUUCAGCAUCUGUCAUGGUUUUGUAACAGGUUCUAGUGUAACAGGUUAUUGAAAUAUACUCCGGCAACAUUUCGGUUUGAAGCAUUAUGUUAUUUGAACUGAUCCCAUCUUUAAUUGAUGACUCGUAAUGCAAUGGUCUUGCCGCUGUAACUUAUUCUUGGCGCCUCAAAAAGCUGUUAGAAUCUCUGCUACCGUCCAGAUGCUUAUCCUGUUUAUCGAUAUCAACAUUAUGGAACUGAAUAAUCUGUCUUGGAGUUGUUAACCAUCGUGCCAUCAAAGGACAAUCAUGUUGCAAAGGUCUGCAACAUGGCCUGCUGUGGGAGGAAUACUCUGAGUUGCAUCCGCAACCGGCUUUUGGGUGUUACAACAUGUUGUUGCUGUUUUGUCAUUCUGCAGUUUAUGGCAUUUGUUUUCAAAUUGUAUUGCUUAGUCUAUUUUUCAUGUAAAGUUGUUAUCUUAAGUAGGUAAAAUGAAUAACGGUUUGGGUUGCUUGUUUGUAAUUGAAAUCCUAUCCUACUUAAAACAAACAGUUUGGAUUUGAGCCCUUGUAAAAACUACCUAUGUUAUGAAAAAUGAUUGACAUUUGGGUUUGAACA
Lathyrus oleraceus (garden pea) is the source of this 2029-nucleotide long non-coding RNA. RefSeq lists it as uncharacterized. NCBI's taxonomy places the organism in Eukaryota, Viridiplantae, Streptophyta, Magnoliopsida, Fabales, Fabaceae. The record is from RefSeq and is a predicted model, not a curated record. The transcript is spliced from 4 exons.